RNAcentral lists this ribosomal RNA (185 nucleotides) under Staphylococcus aureus. Its description in RNAcentral is "partial 16S ribosomal RNA". It matches the Rfam family "Bacterial small subunit ribosomal RNA", at positions 1 to 180 of the family's 1533-position model. The record is from RNAcentral. Lineage: Bacteria; Bacillati; Bacillota; Bacilli; Caryophanales; Staphylococcaceae.
UUUAUGGAGAGUUUGAUCCUGGCUCAGGAUGAACGCUGGCGGCGUGCCUAAUACAUGCAAGUCGAGCGAACGGACGAGAAGCUUGCUUCUCUGAUGUUAGCGGCGGACGGGUGAGUAACACGUGGAUAACCUACCUAUAAGACUGGGAUAACUUCGGGAAACCGGAGCUAAUACCGGAUAAUAUU